This 1473-nucleotide long non-coding RNA is filed under the name Homo sapiens (human). Its description in RNAcentral is "HSALNT0157048". The record is from RNAcentral. Lineage: Eukaryota; Metazoa; Chordata; Mammalia; Primates; Hominidae.
CUUGACCCCAGACCUUCAGCCUGUCAUAUUUUGGCUCCUCCUUAGUGAAGGUUGUUGAGGGUGUUUUGCAGAGAGACAUGACGCCAAUCUUAAUUUUUGACAAUUUUCCAUAGCAUGCAGAUAAUUUGUUUCCAAAACUUUUCAUUUUCCUGAAGUCAUCUUGAUUGGUAUCAGCUAUUUCCAUAAAACGAUCGGAUGAGUUUUGAUGGACAGAUCAGGCUUUUGUUUACAACUGUUUUGCUCCUAAUCAUUCCACCACAUCACAUGUCAUGGACCUGAAUUGCGUCAAGAAGACGGGCUUGUCUGUCAGGCCCUGGUGGGCACUUUGAUAGCGGGCAUGCUGUGCCAUGACACGUGUGGUGUUGGGUCUUGCUGGACAAGCUGUGCUGUGUUCAGUGUGCGGAGCCUCUGCUAGAUGCUCUCAUUUGGGGCACUGGGCCAGUGCUACUGGGAGCACUUCUGUUUUGUGUCACUGACAUCCAAUAGCAUCGUUAUGUAGAGCAAACACCGAAGGGCUGCAUUUCUUUGUGGGCUUAUUCUCGAGAAAACUGGGGGCAGAUCCCUCCUCAAGGAGGGGAGGGCCACCUUGGUUUCCAGUCAAGUAUUGUGAAAAUUAUCCAACACUCAGGCAAUCCACCCAACCCUGCUGCCCAUGUCUGGAGAAGCAAAGUGUCAGGGGUAGUCCAGGCCCACCUGGAGACAGGUCAGGCCCUGCAGAGAAAGGUCUGACAGACGGGGGUGAGGGAAGACCCCCCAAAGGCCUCCAGAGUCCCACCAGGUCUCCAGGUCCUUGUCAUAACCAGAGAGGCCCCAGCCCCAGAGGACCAGGUCCCCUGCUCCACUGUCCACAGGGGCCCACCUGCAAGCACACUGGCAGAGCUCAAGACCACACAUGCCUGCAAGGUGAGGCCUGUCUGGGCUCUGUCCUCCUGCAGGCCCCAGGCCUGGGUGGCUGGGCGAAGGCAGCUGCUUAUGCAGACUCCAGGGGGAAAGCCGCCUCUCAUCUCUGGCCGUCCCCAGGACGCUGGAUCCACCAAUAUCUCACCAACCUGGAGAGCCACUCAACCCCUCAUUUCACAUGUUUGAACAUAGAGGACCAGAGGGGUGUGGCCUGUCUAGGAGGUCUUAGGAGCUCGGGUCCUGACUCUGCCACUUACCAACUCUUGUGUGUCCCAUGUGCCUCCGCUUCCCCUCGGGACACAGAGAUAUUGUGAAAGUUAAACAACAUAAUCCCCGUAAAACACUUCGAGCAGUGCCUGGUAUCUGGCCAGCAAGUGAUCAAUGGUGAUCCAUUACCAUCCUGGGACCCCAUCAGAGCCUUCUGAGGUGGAGGGAAGGGCGUGCUGGGGAGCACAGGUGCAGGUCACAAGAAGGAAGUCAGUCCCAUAAGCCAGGUAUCUAACCCCAUCCCUGCUCCCCCAAGGUAAGGGCCAGCAUCUAACCCCACCCCUGCUCCCCCAAGGUAAGGGCCAG